UACGUAGGGGGCAAGCGUUGUCCGGAUUUAUUGGGCGUAAAGAGCGUGUAGGCGCCAGACAGGUCUGCUGUGAAAACUCGAGGCUCAACCUCGAGACGCCGGUGGAAACCGUCUGGCUAGAGUCCGGAAGAGGAGAGUGGAAUUCCUGGUGUAGCGGUGAAAUGCGCAGAUAUCAGGAAGAACACCCGUGGCUAAGGCGGCUCUCUAGUACGGUACUGACGCUGAGACGCGAAAGCGUGGGGAGCGAACAGG
RNAcentral lists this ribosomal RNA (252 nucleotides) under uncultured bacterium. Its description in RNAcentral is "partial 16S ribosomal RNA". It matches the Rfam family "Bacterial small subunit ribosomal RNA", at positions 524 to 776 of the family's 1533-position model. The record is from RNAcentral.